GACGACGCUGGCGGCGUGCCUAACACAUGCAAGUCGAGCGGGGUUGAGGCGAGAGGUAACUCGAACUUCUACCUAGCGGCGGACGGGUGAGUAACGCGUGGGCAACCUGCCUCAAGGUUUGGGAUAACAGCCCGAAAGGGCUGCUAAUACCGGAUAUGCCUAUGGCCUCGCAUGGGGCUAUGAGCAAAGGGGAAACCCGCCUUGAGAUGGGCCCGCGUCCCAUCAGCUAGUUGGUGAGGUAACAGCUCACCAAGGCGACGACGGGUAGCCGGCCUGAGAGGGUGACCGGCCACACUGGGACUGAGACACGGCCCAGACUCCUACGGGGGGCAGCAGUGGGGGAUCUUGCACAAUGGGCGAAAGCCUGAUGCAGCGACGCCGCGUGAGCGAAGAAGGCCUUCGGGUUGUAAAGCUCUGUCUGGAGGGACGAACAAAAUGACGGUACCUUGCGAACAAGUCCCGGCUAACUACGUG
This 474-nucleotide ribosomal RNA is filed under the name uncultured bacterium. RNAcentral describes it as "bacterial SSU rRNA". It matches the Rfam family "Bacterial small subunit ribosomal RNA", at positions 33 to 507 of the family's 1533-position model. The record is from RNAcentral.